Molecule: long non-coding RNA, 2094 nt
Filed under: Marmota monax (woodchuck)
Lineage: Eukaryota; Metazoa; Chordata; Mammalia; Rodentia; Sciuridae
Source: RNAcentral
AGUCGUACUUACCCUACGCUUCAAGAAAAAUGAUAGGAAACCAGAGGCGGAGAGGAUGCUGGGAGUUUUUGACCAAGUCACGAUGGGAAAGGUAGUUUGCUUUUUCCGGAGGCAACGUUUCCGGGUUAGGCCGGGACGCCUGCCUACAUCCGGGCUCAGCUGAGCCGGUUGCUGGAAGGCUUGCCCGGAAGGCUAUCUCCCAGUUCUUGGUACUUUCUUGGCGUUAGCGUAUCUUUUCCGGAGUGGCCAUAUCAUAAUCCUUAUUUACUUUGGUUGGUUCAAAUGACGCUUAUCAUGGGGCCGGCCAGCGUUCAUUUUAUAUUAUUCGUCUUGUCUUCCUGUGUCUGACCCGCUCUCCUGCCAGCCCUUGGAGGUCAGGGAGCGAAUCGGCGUCCAUCGGGUCUGCAGGGGCCUAGCAAUGCCCCACUCAUUUCAGUUUUAAUAAAAUGUGUGGAAUUCAUUAUAAAGUGGCUUUGCUGCCAGAUGUUGAGGCGUCAAGGAGCUGGCGUCACUGCCUGGCUUGGCUGUGGUCCCUGAGCUGGAGAGAGACAUUAGCGUGACUUUUAGUGACCUCGGAGAAGCUAAACUCCCCACCCGGAAGUUUGAGGUUUAUAAAUGUUACUGCUGCACAGGAAGCACGGUCGGGACCGCAGCUUUGUCAGAAGUUAUUUUUCUGCUCGCUAGCGUGUGCAAGCAAAUUGUUUUCCUGAUGCGUCAAAAGGGAGUUUCCAUUGAUGAUCUUCAAGUUGUAGUCAUUAAUGCCAUGGUCCUCUCCCAUUCCUUCCCUUAAUCCCUAAUAAUCAAGGAACGAUUUGCAAGAAUAGUUCUUUACCUCUGGAAAAUAAAGUAUCCUGGGUUAAAAUCCUGAAAAGGAGGAAGAUGGAAAGAAGAUUUGGGGAUUCAAUUCCAAAUUUCUCUUUAAUCAUUAAAUUGAACUGCAGAUAACUGCUGAAGUACAUUUUUUCUUUCCAGUAUUUUACUUACCACUUAAGAUUAGGCAAAUGUUUUAUAUUCACUACGGAGUGUUUUGCACUUUGAUAGAGCUAAUGUCAUUUCCAGUUGUAAAAACGUUUGGCAUAUUGUCAUUGGGGGAUUUUUCAGUAUUUGCAGUGAGCAGACUUUUAAAACAGCACUGACAUCCAAUGGCUGCAUAAAGUAAUACAGAGAAAUAUCUGUUUUCCAAAAAAAAAAAAAAAAAGACAGUGGAAUGAUUCCUUAAACAAACAAGCAAAAGACCACUGUGUUUUAGAAGAAAGAUCAUGGGCUUUGACCUAAAAUGUGGAUUAUUGUAAGUAGAAAUGCUACCCUAGUCUGUUAUAAAUUACGAUUCCUUGAACCUACUUCACUGCUAAAAACUGGGUAAAAUGUAUUUUAAGAGGCAAUUAUUACAGUUCCUUACUGCCUGAUGGUAGGCCUUUGGUAAAUGUUUUAUUUCACCCGAUUGAAUAAAAUAACAGUGAUAAAAAAAAUUAAUCCCAGUGUCAGUUAAAAAAAAAUACUGCUACAGGGUAAUAUCACUAGGGGGGAAUUGUUUAAUUCAAAUGUCCACACAGUCUAGAACCUUGUAUCUUAAACUUUCCAGUUUUAUUUUUCAUUACUUCAUAGAUGUUUGCAUUUUGGACCACUGAAUAAGCCAGUGGCCAAGAAUCCAACUUCUGCCUUGCUUUUUAAAGGACUUACAAACUAUACAGGAAAGCAAGUAAGUUUAAUUUAUGAAUAAUUUAGUAAAGAAUUUGGUGUUAGUUAAUGCUGAUUGAAAUUUUAAGGUGGCUGUGCCUCUAUGGUCCCUCAGCUUCACAGAAAAAAAACAAAAAAGAGCAGUUUCUUAGUAACAUGAGUUAUCUAUCUACACUUGGGGAAAAAAACCCACAAGUGUAUACCUGCCAUUCCCAUUAGUUCAAGAUGAAUUUUGGCACAUAGCAGGUGUUCAAAAUUAGUUUUGAAUCUUUAUCACCCUGACCAAUGAACUACCAAAACUCAAACCUUCCAACCUGCUUCCUAUGUCGGUCCCAUUUUAAAAACUGUGACCUACAAGAAAAGAAGAAAUUCACCAAAUCAAAAGAGAGGAAGUGUUAAGCAAAUACAGGAACCAAA